CAGCAGAAUUUUAUCCAAGAUUAUCAUCUGAAGAAUGGCUCUGGAAGGCAGUGAGUAACCUCACUAUUUGUGUGACACUUUGAAUUCACACACAUCUCUGCAGCCAUCAGUAUGCAGUGUUGGGACCCUUUCUACUUCCCAGUGCAGAGGCUGAUUUCUUCCACCAGAUUGCAUGCUAAUGAAGAAAGGUUGCUGUUUUGUUAAGUGGCAAAUCUCAGGAUCCUUCUGCCAACAUCCAUACUGGGGAGUUAACUUGAGUUGCAUUAGGUUGUCUCCAAUUAGAAAACACAGUUAAAUGCUUGUCAAAAUAUAUUCCUCUGUGUUAACACAAAUAAAUUGUCUUGUCUUGA
Ochotona princeps (American pika) is the source of this 350-nucleotide long non-coding RNA. RefSeq lists it as uncharacterized. NCBI's taxonomy places the organism in Eukaryota, Metazoa, Chordata, Mammalia, Lagomorpha, Ochotonidae. The record is from RefSeq and is a predicted model, not a curated record. The transcript is spliced from 2 exons.